GCCCAGGUGGCGGAAUUGGUAGACGCGCCAGCUUCAGGUGCUGGUUUCCGUAAGGAAGUGGAAGUUCGAGUCUUCUCCUGGGCACCA
This 87-nucleotide transfer RNA is filed under the name Paracoccaceae bacterium. RNAcentral describes it as "tRNA-Leu". It matches the Rfam family "tRNA". Rfam says of the family: Transfer RNA (tRNA) molecules are approximately 80 nucleotides in length. Their secondary structure includes four short double-helical elements and three loops (D, anti-codon, and T loops). The record is from RNAcentral. Lineage: Bacteria; Pseudomonadati; Pseudomonadota; Alphaproteobacteria; Rhodobacterales; Paracoccaceae. RNAcentral also lists the same sequence under 3 other names.